RNAcentral lists this ribosomal RNA (547 nucleotides) under Arachnopusia unicornis. RNAcentral's name for it is "partial 16S ribosomal RNA". It matches the Rfam family "Bacterial large subunit ribosomal RNA", at positions 1811 to 2622 of the family's 2925-position model. Lineage: Eukaryota; Metazoa; Bryozoa; Gymnolaemata; Cheilostomatida; Arachnopusiidae. The record is from RNAcentral.
AAACAUAGCUUCCGGAACUUAUAGGAAGUGACGUCUGCCCGGUGACCGUMKGSUUKMWYKGMYSYGWKUUCRWRCYRRRGWAGCAUAACCAUUUGCCUUUUUAUUGGAGGCCAGAUAUGAAUGGAUUAACGAGGCUUGACUGUCUCUAUUUAUAUUAUUGAAAUUUAUUUUUAGGUGAAAAAUCCUUGAUUCUUUUGUAGGACGAGAAGACCCUAUCGAGUUUGUAGUGUAGUUGAAGAAUAGCUAAAUAACUAUUAUUUUAAAAUUUCAUUUUUUGAUACACUUUUAUUGGGGCAAUAAGAGAACAGUAAAAAAUUCUUAUUUCUUUGUGAAUAGUUUAUGUUUAUAAUAGUAAAUUAUAAAAUCCUUAAAAAGAGUAUAAAUAAACUACCUUAGGGAUAACAGCGUAAUCCUUCCAGAGAGGUCUAAUCGAAGGGGGGGUUUGCGACCUCGAUGUUGGACUAAGGGAUCCUUAAAGUGCAGAAGCUUUAAAGUGUAGGCCUGUUCGGCCUUUAAUACCUUACAUGAUCUGAGUUCAAACCGGAGA